CCCUAAUCACUUUCAUUUCUUCCUCUUCCACUUUCUACAUCUCUCUGGUGAUAAAGUCAUUUUGAAACUGAAAAAAUCUGUCUCAUCAAAUCAUCAUCAUAAUCACCUUUCUUCUUCUUCCGUAAGCUACUCAAUUUUCUUCCAACUAUUUCUAUCUCCUUCUCAGAGAAACAAAACAACUUAAACCCUCCAAAAUCCAGAAACCUAGUCAAGCUUCCUCUCUUUCCCACUACCUCUCGUUCUAUUAUCCGGCAUAAGAAUCCUCCUUCAGAUCUAGUCGUUCGUCCGUCAUUGUCGUCUCCACUUCUUCAGAUCUGAUUCUCGCAGUUCUUCAAAUCAUUUAUGUUCUUGCUUCUUCGAUUUGUGUUUCAUUUCUAAGAUCUAUCUAGAAGGUAAAUGAGAUGUUUUUAAGAACAAUUUGUAGAUCUAAUUUUUAUUUGCCUUUUCAACUUCCAGAUCUGAACAUUGACAUUUCCAUUCCACACUAGUAGUAGGUAUCUUUGCUCAAUGGUAUACGAUUCUCACUUUUCUUCAACUUUUUUGAAUCUGAUUUUGGUUCAUGUGAUUGGUCGUUUAAUUGGCUUGGACGAGGAAGAAGGCGAGGUACCUUGAAGUUUUGUGGGAAAAAAUGGAUUUUUUUUUAAGUACUUCAAACUGGUGUUGUGAGCUCUGCUUCUGGUUCUGGUUAUGCUGAGUUUGGAAACACAAAAGUCAUUGUUUCAGUGAGCGUAUUAUUAGAUAACACUUCUCCGUCAGUGUUCAUUUUGAUUUAAAAGCAUAUCUUCAAAGCUUCAAGUUUAUUAGCUUAGUAGAACCAGUCACGAGCUGCAAGUGCUUUUGUUAACGCCAAAGCCUGCAUACUCUCUAUAAUUCUCUUUCGCCCCUUUUCUAAUGUGACAACAGCUUGGUCUGAUUUGGUUAUGGGUUUUAUGCAGAACGGUAUGACACCAUUGCAGAAGAAGUUACAAAGAUCAGAAGUCCACUAUGAAUUUGUCGUAGAAAAAGUUUGAAGAUAUGAAGAUAUGUAUUUGAGAGACGUAUCUCUUUUUCCAAGCUUUUGUAAUUUUUUUCAUUCUUAACUGGGUUUUAAUUUGGUAACUAAACGUUCGGUUCUCAUAGUGAAUGAUGCAAAUUAAGAAAGACAACGCCAAAGUGGCAAAGCCGUAUUUGAGUUUUACACAUUGUGAGUUCAAGGAAUUUGUAAAUCGUGUCACUUGCAGUUUAUGCAAAAUGUGAACAAUCGUGUCAAUUGCAGAUACAUUUAUCAACA
Non-coding RNA from Camelina sativa (false flax), 1270 nucleotides. Lineage: Eukaryota; Viridiplantae; Streptophyta; Magnoliopsida; Brassicales; Brassicaceae. The record is from RefSeq and is a predicted model, not a curated record.